UACAGAGGUCUCAAGCGUUGUUCGGAUUCAUUGGGCGUAAAGGGUGCGUAGGUGGCGUUAUAAGUCAGGUGUGAAAUCUCGGGGCUCAACCCCGAAACUGCACUUGAUACUGUAAUGCUCGAGUACUGGAGAGGGGAUUGGAAUUUACGGUGUAGCAGUGAAAUGCGUAGAUAUCGUAGGGAAGACCAGUGGCGAAGGCGAAUCUCUGGACAGUUACUGACACUGAGGCACGAAGGCCAGGGGAGCAAACGGG
This 253-nucleotide ribosomal RNA is filed under the name uncultured bacterium. RNAcentral describes it as "partial 16S ribosomal RNA". It matches the Rfam family "Bacterial small subunit ribosomal RNA", at positions 524 to 776 of the family's 1533-position model. The record is from RNAcentral.